UUUCCGUAGGUGAACCUGCGGAAGGAUCAUUAUCAUCCUGAAUGUUUGAGAGAGAGUCACACUCCUCUCUAUCAUUUCUACACCAACCGCGAACUGUUUUUCCUCCGAUUCAGGGAGAGAUCUCUCAGUUGUUUUUCGUCACUUCUUCCCUUUGAACAUAGGAGUAGAGAGGAUUGUGAUGGGGCUCUGAGAGAAGCAAGCGAACAGCACACUCUGCUGUCAUCCUCGGUAUUGCUGUUUUGGUUGUAUUUUUUUCUCCACCUCCUUUUCUUUAAACAUUUGAACAAAACCAUUAUCAUGUCGUUUGACCUGAUGUUAAUUUUCUACUCUACUUCGAAGCGGAAAAACUAAAACAACUAUAUACGAAACAAAGAGAACAACUCUCAGCAACGGAUAUCUUGGCUCUC
RNAcentral lists this unclassified non-coding RNA (407 nucleotides) under plant metagenome. Its description in RNAcentral is "partial contains small subunit ribosomal RNA, internal transcribed spacer 1, and 5.8S ribosomal RNA". The record is from RNAcentral.